RNAcentral lists this ribosomal RNA (468 nucleotides) under uncultured bacterium. Its description in RNAcentral is "partial 16S ribosomal RNA". It matches the Rfam family "Bacterial small subunit ribosomal RNA", at positions 28 to 507 of the family's 1533-position model. The record is from RNAcentral.
GACGAACGCUGGCGGCGUGCUUAACACAUGCAAGUCGAACGGAAAGGCCCUGCUUUUGUGGGGUGCUCGAGUGGCGAACGGGUGAGUAACACGUGAGUAACCUGCCCUUGACUUUGGGAUAACUUCAGGAAACUGGGGCUAAUACCGGAUAGGAGCUCCUGCUGCAUGGUGGGGGUUGGAAAGUUUCGGCGGUUGGGGAUGGACUCGCGGCUUAUCAGCUUGUUGGUGGGGUAGUGGCUUACCAAGGCUUUGACGGGUAGCCGGCCUGAGAGGGUGACCGGCCACAUUGGGACUGAGAUACGGCCCAGACUCAGACGGGAGGCAGAAGUGGGGAAUAUUGCACAAUGGGCGGAAGCCUGAUGCAGCAACGCCGCGUGCGGGAUGACGGCCUUCGGGUUGUAAACCGCUUUCGCCUGUGACGAAGCGUGAGUGACGGUAAUGGGUAAAGAAGCACCGGCUAACUACGUG